UUUUACAGACGAUUUCGGAUUGAAAAGUGUUACUUUACGGACGAUUUCCGAAUACUAUAAAUAUUUCAGAUGUAGAUUGUUACUAUAAUUUCCUACACUCUUAUUCGAUUCCUUCUUACUAUUAAUACCAAACUAUGCAUAAAACCAGUUGGUACAGGAGUACUUUUCCGGAUUCACAUGAAACCAAACCACAAAAUUUUAGCGUAACCUCUGUGUUUAAAAUUGCAAUAAAUCAGGCAAAAAAUAAAAUUUUAUUGCGUUAAAACUUUAUUUGAUCGUACGGUAUAGCACAAGCACUGCUAUUUAUUGUGUAAGGAAAGUAAUUAGUCAGGUGCUUGCCUAAGUCUUGCCCUAACAAUACCUUAAAAUAAAAACAUUCAAACUAGGACUUACCUUCAACCCCAACUGACGGAAUUUUCUUUCGGCAGCACCGGAAACACAAAAAUCAGUUUUUGAACACUAUAGCAACUCACAAAAUACAACUUUUGUUGUAAACACAAACAUAAACAAUCACAAAUUUUCUUCAAACAAACGAAACAAAUGUCAUUAAAACAAGACCACUUGAUUUUUGAAAUAAUAAUCAAAUGCGCAUGCGCAGCCGCGUCAUUAAACAAAUACUGUCAAAAAAUUUGAAAAAGUUGUGUUUUGUGAGUGAAAUGGACCUAAAUCGUGAUAAAUGAUGAAAAUCCAGUGCAAAAUUGGGAGAUGAGGAUGCAAAGACCUUCAGGCCAGAUAAACUUACGACUUGGAAGAACCACAUCCUGUAAAAAUGAGGACACGGAGAGGGCUAUUACCUGAAACGAAAGGAAAAGCACUUUAGUGGCGAGCGUAAUUGGAUUUUAAUUGUCGAGAGUGAAGGAGGAUGAUACAUUGUGCAGGAUUCCGUUCCAAUUCUCAUAGCAGCUGCACGACCCAAACCUAAGGUAAGUACCGUCUUAUGGCAACAAUCACAAUAUCAAGGUCACCAUCUGGGUCGAAUGGCGCGCUAAUAAUACCUUAAUUUGGUUCGAGUACGUUCACAAAUAAUCGAAGAUUCGUGUAAAUCAAAGUCUGAUGGCUUCGUGGCUUUUUUUACUGAUAACAAGUAAAGACUGGCUAAACUGCAUUCUUUAA
Tribolium castaneum (red flour beetle) is the source of this 1113-nucleotide long non-coding RNA. RefSeq lists it as uncharacterized. The record is from RefSeq and is a predicted model, not a curated record. NCBI's taxonomy places the organism in Eukaryota, Metazoa, Arthropoda, Insecta, Coleoptera, Tenebrionidae. The transcript is spliced from 3 exons.